RNAcentral lists this long non-coding RNA (1643 nucleotides) under Acyrthosiphon pisum (pea aphid). RNAcentral's name for it is "uncharacterized LOC107883989". Lineage: Eukaryota; Metazoa; Arthropoda; Insecta; Hemiptera; Aphididae. The record is from RNAcentral.
AGUAGUCAAGUCACUCCAGUGGCGUAUAUAGAAAUCAUUUUUGGGUUGGGCUAUAUAAUAGGUAGAAGUUGUUCUAUAUAGCACCUAUAGACUUAGAUGCUACCGUAGAACAACAUGAUGCUACUUUAUAUUUAACAGUUUAUAUAAAGGAAAUUUGCGAUUAGGGGUGGGGGCUGUACCACUCCCCUCCACUACAUAUGCCACUAAUUCACUCUAAUUUUAAAUUAACCUGAUCUUCUGAGCGUAAAAUUUUUGUUUUUUUUUUGAUAUGUAUUUUUUAUUUUAUUUUGUUAUUUUAAAAUUACAAAUAUUUAUAUAUUACAUAACCUACUGGGUAAGUGUUUUUGUGGACACACAGUUCAUUAUUUACCGUUUCCACUUCACGAAAUGGACAAAUUUUCAUGAAUAGAUCGAUUGUGUAUACGGGUAGUAGAGUAGUAUAAUUAUACCUACCCAGUGGCGAAACUAGGGGGUGGGGGUAACUGGGGAUUGAUCCCCGGGCGUAAAAUUUUAGUGAGUAUAAUUUUUUUGUGGGCCUUUAUAUUAAUAAUUGGUUUUAAAAGUAAGAAAAUAUUUUUAUUUCAAAUAAUAAUGAAAAACAAAAAUAAAAUUAUAUAUCAUGGCGUAAAAUAAUUAUUCGUCAUUCUAUUAUUAGAUCGCGUAGCUGCGCGAUCGGCGUGCGUCGGCGGUCGACAGUACAUUGUACAUAAUAUAGAUUAUAGAGACAGACUAUAAUAAUACAAAUUAAAUAUAAAUGAUUGUAUUUAUUAUUGAUUCAAUCGUAAAUAUAAAUAUAUUAAUUAAUAUGAACGUUUUCGUCGACGCACGGCGACGACGCGGACAAAAAUAGCAAACAAUUAAUUACCACAAUCCACAGUGAUAAUUCUGUCAUUUACCAUUUGAAAGCGCGGCCCGACCAAGCGGAAUAGCCACUAAUCGGUAUAGUACAUCAUAUUUUUAGUUAAAGAUAAUAUCAAAUAUGGCACAUAAUCCAGAUCAAUUAAUUUUGAUUGAAUUUAUAAAUUAUGUUUGGGGAUAACACAUGAAAUACGUUACUUCAAAGCUCUUAAGCAUCAAAUUUUUAUGGUGGAUAUACGGUUGCAAUUCGAAGGAGACGGAGAGCGACUUUCGCGAGGAUCGAAGAAUUAGACUUCUACGGGAGUGCAGAUAGCGUCAUAGCGGUAUCGAAGAAGAUUUCGGGAUUGAAUUAGUACCUAAACACGAAGAAGAAUGGAUAAAAAAUGCACAAUUUCAUGUCGAAGAACGUAUUAUUUUUCUACGUCUAUAUUGAUCUAUGGAUCUAUGGAUCCAUAGAUUUAUGGAUCUAGAAGUUCCAGUAUCUUCGUCAUGGAUAAUUACCCAAAGAGAAGUGAUUUUUUUCAUGCCUAAUACCUGAUAGUAUUGUUAUGUAUUAAAAUGUACGUAUGUACAUUGUCAAAGAUGGGCGGAUUAUAAUAUACACACCGUUUACAUUUGUUUUUACGAUAUUCUUAAUCCGGAUUUGAAAACAACUACACUUAAUUAUAUUAUUGAAGAUUUAAUUUAUUAAUUUUCACUGAUUCCUCCUGCACUCAAGAUGUUAGUUUCGAGGGCUUUUGUAGGGGUAUUGUUGGAUAAGUGGUCCAUUUAUGUUGGUAUACUGA